CAAGUUCAGACGUCAUUACCUUUCGUUUUUGACGAAUUAAAUCUUGCAUUAUUUAGAUACAAACAAAAACUGCAAGUAAUAAUAAUAAUAAACUCUUCAAUCAAAACAUUUGAUAUGUAUUUAAACUUAAAACUAAAAUGCAUGUUGCUUCUAAAACUUCCCAUAUCUCCUAUCUUGGCUGCCGCGCCCCACACUUCAAAUCUCGUCUACAUGCCCAACUAAUUUCUAGAGUUACCGCCAAGGGUUCACAUCCGAAUGGAGCCCUCUAACGGCAGGAGAUCCUGAAGAUAUCAGAUGUCAUACCGACUCCACACUAUCAUCGAACAGUUUGCAGGAUUCCGUAUACAUUGCUAGUUUUUCAUUGCGGUAAAUAAAAGCUCUUAUACAAAUUACGCAAUGUUCACGCAUUGCGUCGGCAUGUGCUCGAGUUCAACGACAGUGUAUAGUUGGCGUGAAGGGUUGGUCGAGGCGAUAUCUGCACUUUUCAGAGUUGAGGAUAGUACCUACCACUCUUAUAGUAUACUGACUGGAUGUCCACAGAACAGAAACUUAAAUGGUACUAAAAUGCAGCAGAUACUGUGUUAUCUAAGAUAAUUAUGUAAUUGAUAAUUGUGUAUAAAUAAGGAAGAAAAGAAGAAAUUUCAUCAAGGCGAGUAAUUAGUGUAGAAAAAUCGAUGGUUUUGUGCAUCAUUAUCUCCUUUGUAGCGAGGAUGCAGUUAAUUACAGCAGGUCACAGGUCCAACUACCAACGGCCAACGGCCCCUUGAGUGUGUGAGCCCCGGUGAUGCUACCGCCUUGUUUCAAGUAACUACGUCACGUAAGCGCGCAAUUAAUUAGAACCUGCAGCGACUGCCGUCGACUGCUCGAAGAAAUCUAUUGUAGCCGGGAAUUGCUAUCAUAAUUUAUUUUAAAACAGCGCAAUGCGAUUGCGACGUGUAGGUACUUAAAUAGUGUAAAUUAUAAUUGUACUAAUUUGUGUAGAUUUGUAUACAUACCUUCACGUCUAUAUCCAUUACAAGAUGGACAGAGUCAGAGUUGUGAAACUUGAAGUUCACGUUUAGCUGUUUUGAAGUCUUCAUUCCGCGGUCUACAUAAAAAAAUAAAAUACUCACAUAUACUAAUUCAAUCAACAAAAAAUCUAUCACUUAUCCAUUAAUGGCUAUUGAAUAACACAAGGGUUCUUAUUUAUCAGUUGAGACCUGUUUCACAGGUUACUCAUCUACAAUGGCUCUUCGACGUUGAUUGAUGAAAGUCACACGUUGGGCGCCAAAUAAGCCUCCUCUAUACAUCCCUGAAGUGCCUCUAUACAUUCGUGAAAUGCUUUUAUGCGUUCAAAUACCACACUUAAUGUACCUAUUGUUAGUACUUACGCAUAUAGGUAAAAUUGUAUUCAUAAAAAAGUAAAAAUGUAUAUUACAAAAUAUAUUUUUCUCAUUCAGUCAAUAUUAUAUACUGUAAAGUGACAAGGACAACACACAUCUUGUAACUAAAAUACUUGUACCCAACUUUUUACGAUUGUAUUAAGAAUGUUGAAAUAUAAUAGUACUAUAGGAAAUACAUUUUUAAUGACGCAGAGGUAAAAAACUACGGCGUAAUAAUUAUUGAUAGCAUCGAUUAUACUCGUACCUCUACGGUAAAACGAAUGAUUCAAAAACAUUGAUAAAACUACAUUUUUGAUACAUAUUUGAACUUUGAUAAAACUGCAUUUUUCUUGAAAUAAUUGUCUAACUACUAAAUACUGUACUAUAUACUGUCUAAUAACUAAAUAGUCAAGCUUCAAGCCGGCACAAUCUUGCUUUGCUUACAGAUACUUGUACCAUGAAGAAUAUUUAUCACACGAAAUUAUAUAGUCUUUUGUGUAAGGUAUAACCUUAUCAAAUAUAAAAACAAAUCGACGAAUAUGUCUUGAACUAUAUUCGAUUCCUUACAUCUUCUAAUUGCGGCUGUGAAAAUGCAAAAUAACUUUCAAAAGAAAAAAAAGAAAAUGGCUAAUAAUAGGAAAAUGGCCCAUAAAAUAUUUCUAAAAGAACCACAGUAUUCAAAUAAGAAAGGGUUUUUGUUUUUCAUUGCAGCUUUUUGGCUAAUAAAAGGAUUGUUAGACCCACCUGGUUCUAAAUUGCUCGUUCAACCAAUUUUGUAUUUUCAACUCUGUCAAUUGGGUAUAUUACAUUUGUUAGAAGCCUUUGAUUCCAUUUGUAUUAUUAUAUUGUUAGGGUUAGGUUAAUUUUAAUUUCAUUGCGCGAAAUUAUAAAGUUAUUAUUUGUGAUUUUAGUAUGUGAGAUUUAGAUUGAAUUGAUGCUACAGUGAAAAAAAAACGCGUUGAACUCCGGGAGUGCCGACAGAAGUAAAACUUGAAUAUUAA
Molecule: long non-coding RNA, 2362 nt
Organism: Plodia interpunctella (Indianmeal moth)
Lineage: Eukaryota; Metazoa; Arthropoda; Insecta; Lepidoptera; Pyralidae
Exons: 2
Source: RefSeq, a predicted model, not a curated record